GGUGAGGGAGGAAGGCGGCGAUUUCAGAUCUGGGGUCGGAGGCGGUGGUGGCCGGCUCUUCGCUGCUGCUGCCGUUGACUGCCGGAGUCGAGGAAAGGGAAUGGGCGACGGCUUCUAGUUCGUGUGGGUGAGUGAGCUGUCGUGAGAGAGGGAGACAGAAGGAGAUGGAGGUCAGGGGCGGCGGCGGUAGCGGCCGGAGGCCGGCUGCUGUCGUCCGCCGGAUGAGGGAAAAGGGGGGGAGCUGGUGUGUGGUGUGUGGUGUGUGUGUGCGUGUGAGGGGAAGAGAGAGAUGUUGGGGGAAGCGGCAGUGAGGGGGGAGAAAUAAGGGA
RNAcentral lists this long non-coding RNA (329 nucleotides) under Salvia miltiorrhiza (redroot sage). RNAcentral describes it as "long non-coding RNA (SMIL_LNC002776)". Lineage: Eukaryota; Viridiplantae; Streptophyta; Magnoliopsida; Lamiales; Lamiaceae. The record is from RNAcentral.